CCUACGGGAGGCUGCAGUGGGGAAUGUUGCGCAAUGCUCGUAAGAGUGACGCAGCGACGCCGCGUGAAUGACGAAGGCCUUCGGGUCGUAAAGUUCUUUCGAUAGGGAAGAAAAUGCAUAUAAGUAACUGUGUAUGUAUUGACGGUACCUGUAGAAGCAGCCCCGGCUAACUCCGUGCCAGCAGCCGCGGUAAUACGGAGGGGGCGAGCGUUGUCCGGAGUGACUGGGCGUAAAGAGCACGUAGGCGGUGUUGUAAGUCAUUAGUCAAAGACUAGAGCUCAACUUUAGUAAGGCUAGUGAUACUUUCAUACUAGAGUAUCAGAGAGGAUUGCCGAAUUCCUGGUGUAGCGGU
This 352-nucleotide ribosomal RNA is filed under the name uncultured bacterium. RNAcentral's name for it is "partial 16S ribosomal RNA". It matches the Rfam family "Bacterial small subunit ribosomal RNA", at positions 338 to 682 of the family's 1533-position model. The record is from RNAcentral.